UGGGGGAUAUUGCACAAUGGGCGAAAGCCUGAUGCAGCGACGCCGCGUGGGGGAUGAAGGCUUUCGGGUUGUAAACCUCUUUCGCUAUCGAACAAGGCCCGCUUAGGGUGGGUUGAGGGUAGGUGGAGAAGAAGCGCCGGCUAACUACGUGCCAGCAGCCGCGGUAAUACGCAGGGCGCGAGCGUUGUCCGGAAUUGUUGGGCGUAAAGGGCUUGUAGGCGGCUUGUUGCGCCUGCUGUGAAAACGCGGGGCUUAACUUCGCGCGUGCAGUGGGUACGGGCAGGCUUGAGUGUGGUAGGGGUGACUGGAAUUCCAGGUGUAGCGGUGGAAUGCGCAGAUAUCUGGAGGAACACCGAUGGCGAAGGCAGGUCACUGGGCCAUUACUGACGCUGAGGAGCGAAAGCAUGGGUAGCGAACAGG
RNAcentral lists this ribosomal RNA (420 nucleotides) under bacterium. RNAcentral's name for it is "partial 16S ribosomal RNA". It matches the Rfam family "Bacterial small subunit ribosomal RNA", at positions 355 to 776 of the family's 1533-position model. The record is from RNAcentral.